Molecule: microRNA precursor, 100 nt
Filed under: Marmota monax (woodchuck)
Lineage: Eukaryota; Metazoa; Chordata; Mammalia; Rodentia; Sciuridae
Source: RNAcentral
AUAAGAAUUACCUGGGAAUCUUGUUAAAAUGCAGAUUCUGAAUCUGCAUUAUUGAGUCCUGAGAUUCUGAGUUUCUAAAUAUCUCCCAGGUAGUGCUGAU